Molecule: long non-coding RNA, 2975 nt
Organism: Oncorhynchus tshawytscha (Chinook salmon)
Lineage: Eukaryota; Metazoa; Chordata; Actinopteri; Salmoniformes; Salmonidae
Source: Ensembl
UGCGUGUGUGUGUGUGUGUGUGUGUGUGAGAGAGAGAGUGCCAUUCUGUCUCAUAGUAUAAACACAAACUUCACUCUUUCAAAAAACGUCUUUAAUACACAAAAACGUACAGAAUAUAAACAUCAAUAGUAUUCAUGUAUUAAACAAAUAGCACAUGUACUUAUAAACACAAUUUCUCGCCCAUCGUUUUUUUAAAGCACCAAUUCACUGACAUCAUUCCUUGAGAUUAUAAAAGUUUACUAGCGUUAGUCUGACCAAUCAAUCAAAAACCUAAAUAAUUAUAUUCCUAAUUGUGCCUAUAUUCUAAUUACCCAUAAUUCAUUAAGAAUCUCCUCGACUCCCUCUUGUUUAUGACCCUGUUUAUGUUGGCUCCAGAUAGAAGUCGCCCUUAGGUACAGAUCUAGGAUCAGUUUUCCCUCACCCAAAGGACAAUGCAACAACGUCUCCUCUUCACCCCCUGCUGACAUCACCAAUUCAAGUCCUUAUCCAGUCAUUAGGCAGAAUAGUCUAUGUAAUAUUAUGUCAAAUAGGGUCUGUUUCAUACAUGUACACAUGUGGAGGCCAGUAGGAAUGUGUUUCAUCCCCCUGAGACCCUCUCAGACAGUGAGGUUACAGAUCAGCCACGUGUGGAGGCCAGUAGGAGUGUGUUUCAUCCCCCUGAGACCCUCUCAGACAGUGAGGUUACAGAUCAGCCACGUGUGGAGGCCAGUAGGAGUGUGUUUCAUCCCCCUGAGACCCUCUCAGACAGUGAGGUUACAGAUCAGCCACGUGUGGUGGCCAGUGGGAGUGUGUUUCAUCCCCCUGAGACCCUCUCAGACAGUGAGGUUACAGAUCAGCCACGUGUGGUGGCCAGUAGGAGUGUGUUUCACAUGUUUCCCAUGACAAUAAAGCCCCUUGGAUUGAAUUAAGAGAGAGAGAGAGAGAGACAGACACACAGAGAGAGACACAGAGAGAGACACAGAGAGAGAGAGAGAGACACAGAGAGAGAGACACACAGAGAGAGACACACAGAGAGAGACACAGAGAGAGACACAGAGAGAGAGAGAGAGAGAGAGAGAGAGAGACACAGAGAGAGAGACACAGAGAGAGACACAGAGAGAGAGACACAGAGAGAGACACAGAGAGAGAGAGAGAGAGACACACAGAGAGAGAGACACAGAGAGAGACACACAGAGAGACAGAGAGAGAGAGACACACAGAGAGAGACACACAGAGAGAGACACACAGAGAGAGACACAGAGAGAGAGAGAGAGAGAGAGAGAGAGAGAGAGAGAGAGAGAGAGAAAGAGAGGGAGAGAGAGAGAGAGAGAGAGAGAGAGAGAGAGAGAGAGGGAGAAAGAGAGGGAGAGAGAGAGAGAGAUAGGGAGAAAGAGAGGGAGAGAGAGGAAGAAAGUAUAGUGGAGUAACUUGUUAAAGGUCUGUGUGUGUCUGCACCUGUAUAACUCCUGGAACACUAACAACUGGUCCUUCCAUUAAACCAGUUGUGCUUUACAAACUAUCCCUCUGAUACACUGAGUAGGCAGCCUUUCCCUUUAACAAACUGGAACUGGUUUAUACUGUGUAACACAGUGAGGGGAAUAGACAAACACUACAGCUUGGUUGGAGGUAGAAACCAGAGCUGUGUUACCCCCUGUCUUUGACCCUGUGUGAUUAAGUCCCUGAUACAUGCAUACCAUUACUCAACCUCUAUUUCUAGUCCUUCCUCUCUCUCUCUCUCUCUCUCUCUCUCUCUCUCUCUCUCUCCUCUUUCUCUCUCUCUCUCUCUCUCCUUUCAGGCCCUCUCUGUGUGUGUUUGUGUUGGCAACAGCCUCUUAAGUGCGGUAGGUAAAAUCCCUACAUCCAACAAGCCUGCCAAGAAAGCCACACACACACACACACACGUGCGGGCACGCCAAACACACAAAGAGAGAAGGAGAGCCAAGAAAGCUUCACUCAGCUCAACCUCAGGGGGGAGAAGCUUUAGAAAACCCCAGGUCCUUUCUCCUCCCACACAAUAAGAUGUGCUGCUGUUACUGUACGUUAGUCGUUGUUAUCAUGCAGCUCUUACUAAUAUACUGUGUCUGAAAGGAGGAUCACAUUUACAUAUCUGGUUUACUUUAGGCCAGAGAAUGUUCCCACAGGAAAAACAACGCUGUUUUACAGGAGUCGGCAGCUCUUCCUCAGUUCAUGCUACUCUACUGUAAUGUUUACAUUAGUUAGUUAGUUUGUUAGUUUACACUAGAAAGGGCCGAUCUUAGAGAUGUCCUAACUUGAGGGGUCAUGACCCCACUCUCCCAUCUGGGAUACAUUCUCAAAGACUUUCUGCCUUACCCUUUCUAUCUUUCUAUUUCCCUCUCUCCUUCUCUCUCAUGAGAAUGCAGUCUCCUCUCGCUCUCUUCCAUUCACCCCUUUCUCCCUUUCUCUCAUCCUCCUUCUUUCUCCUUCUCUCUCAUCCUCCUUCUUUCCCUCUCCUUUUACCCCUUUUCGCUCCCUAUUUUUCUGUCCUCUCUACUAUUCUCAUCUCCCUCUCUGUCUCCUUCUUUCCCCUUCUCUCAGGGUAGUUCGGUCAGUCAGAGGUCUGGUUGUCAUUAGCUUCCUGUUACUGACUUAAAGAAAAACAGCCCCGACAGAGAGAGAGAGGGACGUACGGACAGACAGACAGAGAGAGAGAGAGAGAGAGAGAGAGAGGGAGGGACGGAAGGACAGAGGAUGAGAGAGAGAGGGAGAGAGAGAGCAAAAGAGGGAGGUCAGGGAGAGACAGAGAGAGACAGAGAUGGAGAGAGAGGGAGAGAGAGCAAGAGAGGGAGAGGAAGAGCAAGAGAGAGGGAGAGGAAGAGCAAGAGAGGGAGAGGAAGAGCAAGAGAGAGGGAGAGGAAGAGCAAGAGAGAGGGAGAGGAAGGAAGAGAGAGAGAGAGAGGAGAGAGAAGAGCAAGAGAGAGGGAGAGGAAGAGCAAGAGAGGGAGGAAGAGCAAGAGAGAGAGGGAGAGGGGAAAGAG